RNAcentral lists this ribosomal RNA (532 nucleotides) under Solitalea agri. Its description in RNAcentral is "partial 23S ribosomal RNA". It matches the Rfam family "Bacterial large subunit ribosomal RNA", at positions 1618 to 2158 of the family's 2925-position model. The record is from RNAcentral. Lineage: Bacteria; Pseudomonadati; Bacteroidota; Sphingobacteriia; Sphingobacteriales; Sphingobacteriaceae.
CCUCUAAACUUCAGAUACAAGAUACCCGUACCGCAAACCGACACAGGUAGUCGAGGAGAGAAUCCUAAGGUGCUCGAGUGAAUCAUGGCUAAGGAACUCGGCAAAAUGGCCCUGUAACUUCGGGAGAAGGGGCGCCCCUUAACGGGGGCCGCAGUGAAAAGGUCCAGGCGACUGUUUAACAAAAACACAUGGCUUUGCAAAAUCGAAAGAUGAGGUAUAAGGCCUGACACCUGCCCGGUGCUGGAAGGUUAAGAGGGGAUGUUAGUCGCAAGGCGAAGCAUUGAAUCGAAGCCCCAGUAAACGGCGGCCGUAACUAUAACGGUCCUAAGGUAGCGAAAUUCCUUGUCGGGUAAGUUCCGACCUGCACGAAUGGUGUAACGAUCUGGACGCUGUCUCAGCCAUGAGCUCGGUGAAAUUGUGGUAUCGGUGAAGACGCCGGUUACCCGCAACGGGACGGAAAGACCCCAUGCACCUUCACUACAACUUAACAUUGACAUUGGGUACAGGAUGUGUAGGAUAGGCGGGAGAUGUU